UAACGCGUGAGGAACCUGCCUUCCAGAGGGGGACAACAGUUGGAAACGACUGCUAAUACCGCAUGACACAUGACCGUGGCAUCACGGACAUGUCAAAGAUUUAUCGCUGGGAGAUGGCCUCGCGUCUGAUUAGCUAGUAGGCGGGGUAACGGCCCACCUAGGCGACGAUCAGUAGCCGGACUGAGAGGUUGACCGGCCACAUUGGGACUGAGAUACGGCCCAGACUCCUACGGAAGGCAGCAG
Molecule: ribosomal RNA, 243 nt
Filed under: uncultured bacterium
Lineage: Bacteria
Description: partial 16S ribosomal RNA
Rfam family: Bacterial small subunit ribosomal RNA
Source: RNAcentral